Long non-coding RNA from Amaranthus tricolor (Joseph's coat), 1268 nucleotides. RefSeq lists it as uncharacterized. The record is from RefSeq and is a predicted model, not a curated record. Lineage: Eukaryota; Viridiplantae; Streptophyta; Magnoliopsida; Caryophyllales; Amaranthaceae. The transcript has 3 exons.
AAACACUCAAAACCUUCUUCAAACCCGACAUCCAUCUCCUUCUUCAUUGCUCUAAACCCUUAUUCCUUUUCAUUCUUCAAAAUUAGAAUCCAUGGGCUCAUUCUCACCGGCAUAACCGAAGGCAACAUGCAUUGUUCCUCAAUCUUCCCUUCCUCUGACCUUCGAAGAAACACAACAGCUUCACACCUGUACUCCUUGUUGCCAAAACGCGAAAGAGGAGCAACGAUAUUCAUCCUCUUCCUUGAUUUUCAAAGUCCUUCAUUGAAGAACCUAAUUCUUGGCAGCCAUAGACAACAAAUUCUAGGCUUUCACUUUCUUUUGAUUUUCGAGUAUACAAUGGAUUGAUCCACUCCUUCACCUGCAUUACACGAACAAUAAUAGAAAGCAGGGUUGUUCUUUUGAUUCAAUGGGUAUUCACAGCAGCCUGCGUGAGAUUCAAGUCCUAAUUGAGACAAUUUCUUUGCAAAACCAUUCUAGCUGAUAGUUGCGGAUCGAACCUGACUCUUUGAAGCGUCGUCUUUGUUUGAUUACAGAUCGGAAUCGGUCGGAAACGAUGGGCUAGCGGUGCUUGAAUAGCGUUCCAAGGAUGUAUAUUGAGCUGAGCACUUAGGAAUUUGUAGUUUUGUAUUAGGUUUUUUUUUGGAUAAAUAUAUAUUUGUUUUGGCUGUGUUGGUUAUACGGACUUGUAGAGAAUUGUAUGAAUAUCUUGUGUAUUAGUUAGAUGUUGGUUUUGGGAUUUAGCUGAGUUAGUCACGUUGAAGAGCUUGUGACCUCUUUGCUUGAGUUUUGGAAGUGUGAUUUCAGUUUCUUGGGAAACGAACCCAGUGAUGACCCUGUUUACCCAGUCAACGGUAAGUCGGGUUGUUACACUAUCAACAAUUGUUAGAUCAUCAAACCUGGGAACAGUAGGCCUCCUUUCUACAUUUGACAUCCUAAGCGAUAUACCUUAUCUAAUUUCCUUGGAUUCUUUUGAUAAGUACACGUUCAUAGACUAAAUUAUAGGCACUAUCAACGAUCUCUAACAAGACCAUAUAUUGACUUGCAUUCAAUCUCUAAAAUACGUUUGUUUAUAUAAAGUGUAGUCAUCAUCAAAACCUAAGAGAGCCAACAAAUUAUAAAUAACCACUUUACGACUCUAUGUGAUCACUGUACGGUUAUAAGUGAUCAAUUUAAGAUUAUACAUUAGAUAGCUAAUGAGAAAAUUUGUUGGACCCUUUCCCCCAAAGUAUUCAAACCUUGGCUGAUCUUAUUUUAUGCUAAUUAACAAG